GCCCCGAUAGCUCAGCUGGAUAGAGCGUCCCCCUCCUAAGGGGAAGGUCUCAGGUUCGAAUCCUGAUCGGGGCACCA
RNAcentral lists this transfer RNA (77 nucleotides) under Marinospirillum celere. RNAcentral describes it as "tRNA_Arg_CCT". It matches the Rfam family "tRNA". Rfam says of the family: Transfer RNA (tRNA) molecules are approximately 80 nucleotides in length. The record is from RNAcentral. RNAcentral also lists the same sequence under 1 other name. Lineage: Bacteria; Pseudomonadati; Pseudomonadota; Gammaproteobacteria; Oceanospirillales; Oceanospirillaceae.